GACGAACGCUGGCGGCGUGCUUAACACAUGCAAGUCGAACGCGCCUGCUUCUUUUGGGGUGGGUGAGUGGCGAACGGGUGAGUAACACGUGGGUGACCUGCCCUCCACUUUGGGAUAAGCCUGGGAAACUGGGUCUAAUACCGGAUAUGACCGCAUGUUGCAUGGUGUGUGGUGGAAAGUUUUUUCGGUGGGGGAUGGGCCCGCGGCCUAUCAGCUUGUUGGUGGGGUGAUGGCCUACCAAGGCUUCGACGGGUAGCCGGCCUGAGAGGGCGUCCGGCCAGACUGGGACUGAGACACGGCCCAGACUCCUACGGGAGGCAGCAGUGGGGAAUAUUGCGCAAUGGGCGGAAGCCUGACGCAGCGACGCCGCGUAGGGGAUGACGGCCUUCGGGUUGUAAACCUCUUUCGACCUCGACGAAGCCUGUGGGUGACGGUAGGGGUGGAAGAAGCACCGGCCAACUACGUGCCAGCAGCCGCAGUAA
Molecule: ribosomal RNA, 482 nt
Filed under: uncultured bacterium
Lineage: Bacteria
Description: partial 16S ribosomal RNA
Rfam family: Bacterial small subunit ribosomal RNA
Source: RNAcentral